UACAGAGGGGGCAAGCGUUAUUCGGAAUUAUUGGGCGUAAAGGGCGCGUAGGCGGCCCUUCAAGUCUCUCGUGAAAUCCCUCGGCUUAACUGAGGACGUGCGGGAGAUACUGUCGGGCUUGAGUCCGGAAGAGGGUGGUGGAAUUCCCAGUGUAGCGGUGAAAUGCGUAGAUAUUGGGAGGAACACCGGUGGCGAAGGCGGCCACCUGGGCCGGAACUGACGCUGAGGCGCGAAAGCGUGGGUAGCAAAC
This 250-nucleotide ribosomal RNA is filed under the name uncultured bacterium. Its description in RNAcentral is "partial 16S ribosomal RNA". It matches the Rfam family "Bacterial small subunit ribosomal RNA", at positions 524 to 773 of the family's 1533-position model. The record is from RNAcentral.